RNAcentral lists this ribosomal RNA (388 nucleotides) under uncultured bacterium. Its description in RNAcentral is "bacterial SSU rRNA". It matches the Rfam family "Bacterial small subunit ribosomal RNA", at positions 470 to 858 of the family's 1533-position model. The record is from RNAcentral.
UGACGGUACCUGCAGAAGCAGCUGCGGCUAACUACGUGCCAGCAGCCGCGGUAAUACGUAGGCAGCGAGCGUUGUUCGGAGUUACUGGGCGUAAAGGGUGUGUAGGCGGUUGUCUAAGUUUGGUGUGAAAUCUCCCGGCUCAACUGGGAGGGUGCGCCGAAUACUGAAUGACUAGAGUGCGGGAGAGGAAAGUGGAAUUCCUGGUGUAGCGGUGAAAUGCGUAGAUAUCAGGAGGAACACCGGUGGUGUAGACGGCUUUCUGGACCGUAACUGACGCUGAAACACGAAAGCGUGGGUAGCAAACAGGAUUAGAUACCCUGGUAGUCCACGCCCUAAACGAUGCAUAUUUGGUGUGGGCAGUUCAUUCUGUCCGUGCCGGAGCUAACGC